GAAGCGUGCAGGCCGGGCCAGGGACCGUCCCUGCCCAGCGCCCGGGGGAUUUCCUGCUGCAGAGCCCGGCCACCGCCAUCUUCCCAUCUUCCCCCAAGAAGCAGCAUUUGCGCAUCUGGGAGUUCGAUCCGUGCUGAUGGGGCCGGGUCUAGUUCACUCGUAACCACCGUUGGGCCUCUUGUCGUGCGAACAACCAGUAUGGACACGUUUCCCCGGGCAGAGACCUUCUUUCCACGUGCCACUUUUGCUCUGACGAAUAAGCCUCUGGGAACAAGCAUCGUCGUGAGCGAGCGCAUGCCAUCGCUGGCAGGGAGCCACCCAGAGCGGAACCGUGCGGUCCUCGCGGGAGCUCGCGCCACCUCAGCCUCUGCAGGAGCUGCCAAAUUGCUCUCCAAAGUGGCUCCGACAAUUUACCGCCCGCUAGCGAUGGUGAGAGUUCCCGUCUCUCCACAUUCUCGCCAACGUUUCGUGUUAUCAGACGCAUCAGCAUUUGCCAGGUGAUGGGUGUGAAAUGGUGCAUCGUUAAGGCUUUAUUUUGCUUUUCCCCAAUUCUGGGUGUGGAUGAGCACCCCCCCCCAGCCCCCGCCGUGCCUUACUGACCUCUUGGGUCUCCUCGCCCGAGAGCUGCCUGGUUGCGCGCUGGCGUUCUCGUCCUCUGUCCAUUUUCCUCUUGGGUCGUUUGGUUUCUUCUGAUUUGUGUGUUUAUUGUAUUGUCACCACCGAGAUGCGAUACAAACAUUCUCUUGUGCUUUUUAAAAACGUUUUACAGUUUUGCAUUUCACAUAUAGGUCUUUACUCCAUCUGGAA
Long non-coding RNA from Leopardus geoffroyi (Geoffroy's cat), 807 nucleotides. RefSeq lists it as uncharacterized. NCBI's taxonomy places the organism in Eukaryota, Metazoa, Chordata, Mammalia, Carnivora, Felidae. The transcript is spliced from 2 exons. The record is from RefSeq and is a predicted model, not a curated record.